Long non-coding RNA from Amblyraja radiata (thorny skate), 195 nucleotides. RefSeq lists it as uncharacterized. The transcript is spliced from 3 exons. Lineage: Eukaryota; Metazoa; Chordata; Chondrichthyes; Rajiformes; Rajidae. The record is from RefSeq and is a predicted model, not a curated record.
ACCCCGACCGAACAUGUGCCCACUACACAGUCCCCCCCCCCCCCGACCAACAUGCCCCUUCGACACUAGUUCACCAACCCCGACCAACAUCCUCAAUACUACCUAGUCCCCACCCCGACCAACAUGCCCUUUACACUAGUCCCACCCCGAACAUCAUGACCCAUCUACACUAGUCCCCCACCGACCAAGAUGCCC